AUUGAACGCUGGCGGCAGGCCUAACACAUGCAAGUCGAACGAGUGGCGGACGGGUGUGUAAUGUCUGGGAAACUGCCUGAUGGAGGGGGAUAACUACUGGAAACGGUAUCUAAUACCGCAUACCCUCAGAUGUCCCCAGAUGGGAUUGGCUUGUUGGUGGGGUAACGGCUCACCAAGGCGACGACCCCUCGCUGGUCUGAGAGGAUGACCAGCCACACGGGAACUGAGACACGGUCCAGACUCCUACGGGAGGCAGCAGUGGGGAAUAUUGCACAAUGGGCGCAAGCCUGAUGCAGCCAGGCCGCGUGUAUGAAGAAGGCCUUCGGGUGGUAAAGUACUUUCAGCGGGGAGGCGUUACCCGCAGAAGAAGCACCGGCUAACUCCGUGCCAGCAGCCGCGGUAAUAC
This 406-nucleotide ribosomal RNA is filed under the name uncultured bacterium. Its description in RNAcentral is "partial 16S ribosomal RNA". It matches the Rfam family "Bacterial small subunit ribosomal RNA", at positions 30 to 526 of the family's 1533-position model. The record is from RNAcentral.